AUUUACUACAAGACUAAAAGAUUUGAUAAUGGAAAAUAUCUGCAUAAAAGCUGAGCCUCAGGAAACAGUGGCUUGUGAAGAUGUGCCGUUGUACUUCACGGAGCAGGAAUUGGCCAGCUUGAGACUCGAUGAGAAAGCGCUGUACAAGGAGGUGGUGCUGGAGAACUUCCUACACCUGGCUUUUCUGGGGUACAUCUCAAAAGUGAGGAAGUAUGCGCAGCUGAUUGAGGCAGAGGUGUCCAGGGUGAAGGCAUUCCUCUAAGCCAGGAAGACAUGGCCGAGUCACUGCUGUCCAGUGGAGGCCUCUCUGUAGCCAAG
RNAcentral lists this long non-coding RNA (318 nucleotides) under Meriones unguiculatus (Mongolian gerbil). RNAcentral describes it as "lncRNA (ENSMUGG00000023672.1)". The record is from RNAcentral. Lineage: Eukaryota; Metazoa; Chordata; Mammalia; Rodentia; Muridae.